AGCAAACUGUUUUCAUAAAAUGAUCUAAGAAUAUAAUAUUUCCCGUACAGGUACCUUUUAAGAACGUAUUUUAUUCGCUAAUUUCAAUUUCGGACGAAAAAUAAACGCUUUGACGCUAUCGGGCACACCUAUAACGAGUGAUUAGACAAUUUGCUUCCGGCUUUCUCCGCAUAAUAUUACAACGCUCGUGUCAUAAACAUGAUAUUAUCGUUAUUGUUUUUAUCAAUCGCUAUAAUUCUAUAAAUCGCUCGGAUGCAAAUUUCAAUAUAUUAUUAUACGAGUAAUUUUAUGCGAACGUCCUGUCCGUAUGUUUGUACAUCGUUCGCCGCGUUUUUUUUUUGUUUUAUACGUUUCCACGUUUGAUUUUGUAUUGAUCAUAUCAAUUUUGUUACUUUUAUAAUAUUAAUGUAUAAUUUAUGUGUAUUUUUAUCGUAUUUUAUUAUAUUUUACAAUAAUAACAUUGUUUUACUGCGCGCGACGAGUGGGGCGAAUGAUUUCUAUUUCGGAUAACCGUAAUCGAACGACAAAUCUCGCAAGCAUACAUCUGAUUUUUUUAUUAAUUAUUGUUAAAUACGAAUUUA
This is a non-coding RNA of Cinara cedri, 581 nucleotides long. NCBI's taxonomy places the organism in Eukaryota, Metazoa, Arthropoda, Insecta, Hemiptera, Aphididae. The record is from the annotation of a GenBank genome assembly.